ACUGCGCUCCUUCACUUCGUCCCGGGAUCCCGGCCAAUCCUCCCGGACGCGUUCCCACGAGAGCCGCCUCAGCCUCCCAUGCGCGCGCACUGUUCUCGCCUCAACCGCACGAGCUAUGCAGCAGCAUCAGCCCACGCUUCUUCCGGCAAGGCGGCGCGACGCGCGCUCCACGCGGCGGCGCCCGCUCCCGAUCACAGGCAGAGCGGCGGCACGCCGCCCGGGCUCGGUGCGCCCGCCGCGCAGCCCCUCGGGUCAAUGUUCGGAGAGGUCCUCCGGCCGGGCGCGCUCGAGCUCGCCGCGGCGAUCAGGUCGACCUCGGCGCUCCCGGACGGCGGCCGCGCCCUCGGGAGGUGCCUCCACGGGCUCGCCGUGAAGGCCGGGCGCGUGGCGAGCAGCGCGGCGGUGGCGAAGGCGGUCAUGGACAUGUACGGUCGGUCGGGAGCCCUCGCGGACGCCCGCCUGCUGUUCGACGAAAUGGCGCACCCCGACGCGGUGUGCUGGAACAUCCUCAUCGCCGCGUCCUCUCGCGGCGGGCCCUUCGACGACGCGUUCGGCCUGUUCAGGUCGAUGCUCGCUUGUGGCGCUGCGCAGAGCAUGCCGACCGCGGUGACCGUGGCUGUGAUUGUUCCGGCGUGCGCCAAGUGGAGGCGUUUGCAGACUGGCAGGAGCGUCCAUGGGUACGUGAUCAAAACCGGCUUGGAAUCAGAUACUCUGUGUGGGAAUGCUUUGGUGUCUAUGUAUGCAAAGUGUGGUGGAAGCAGGGCAAUGGAUGAUGCACGCAGAGCAUUUUCCUCUAUUCGCAGUAAGGAUGUUGUUUCUUGGAAUUCGAUCAUUGCAGGGUACAUAGAGAACGGGUUAUUUCAUGAGGCACUUGUGCUGUUCGGCCAGAUGAUCUCACAGGGAUUUCUUCCGAAUUAUUCAACAGUUGCUAACAUUCUUCCCGUGUGCUCAUUCACAGAGUUCGGGAGGUAUUAUGGGAAAGAAGUUCACAGUUUCGUGGUCCGGCAUGGUUUGGACAUGGAUAUUUCUGUUUGCAAUGCACUGAUGACACAUUAUUCCAGAGUGUUUGAAACAAAGGCUUUGGAGUCUGUAUUUUCAAGUAUGGAUGUGAGGGAUAUCGUUACUUGGAACACCAUUAUUGCCGGAUAUGUGAUGAAUGGGUAUCACUCUAGGGCGCUAGACCUAUUUCAGGGGCUUCUGUCCACAGGAAUUGCUCCCGAUUCUGUUUCUUUUAUCAGUCUGCUCACUGCCUGUGCUCAAUUAUGUGAUGUCAAAGCAGGGAUUGGGGUUCACGGUUAUAUCUUUCAAAGGCCAGUGCUUCUUCAAGAAACAUCGUUAAUGAAUGCUCUUGUCACAUUCUAUAGCCAGUGUGACAGGUUUGAUGAUGCUUUCCGUGCUUUCACGGGUAUUCUGAACAAAGAUUUAAUAUCAUGGAAUGCAAUUCUGUCUGCUUGUGCUAACAGUGAACAGCACAUUGAGGAGUUCUUUGGGCUGUUGUGUGAAAUGUGCCAUCAGUGGGACUCAGUCACAGUCUUGAAUGUUAUACGGAUGAGUGCCUUCAGUGGGAUUAAGAUGGUUCGUGAAGCUCAUGGCUGGUCCCUACGAGUCGGUUACACAGGUGAAACUUCAGUAGCAAAUGCUAUUCUGGAUGCUUAUGUGAAGUGUGGCUACUCACAGGAUGCAAGUAUACUUUUCAGAAACCUUGCUGGGCGAAACAUUGUAACUGACAAUACAAUGAUUUCUUGCUACAUGAAGAAUAAAUGUAUAGAGGAUGCCGAGGUGAUCUUCAACCAUAUGGCUGAGAAAGACUUGACUUCAUGGAAUCUGAUGAUCCAGUUGUAUGCGGAAAAUGACAUGGAUGAUCAAGCGGUCAGUAUGUUUAACCACUUGCAGUCUGAAGGAUUGAAACCUGAUAUUGUCAGCAUUACAGGCAUUCUUGAGGCUUGCAUCCAUUUGUGCUCUGUACAGCUUGUGAGACAAUGCCAUACCUACAUGCUCAGAGCAACCCUAGAAGACAUCCAUCUUGAAGGAGCUCUUCUUGAUGCAUACUCGAAGUGUGGCAACAUAACCAAUGCAUACAACAUCUUCCAAGUCAGCCCAAAAAAGGACCUUGUCACAUUCACUGCCAUGAUCGGAUGUUAUGCGAUGCAUGGAAUGGCAGAAGAAGCAGUAGAGCUGUUCUCUAAAAUGCUUAAUCUUGACAUUAGACCGGACCAUGUAGUUCUCACCACACUGCUGUCAGCAUGCAGUCAUGCUGGGCUAGUUGAUGCAGGCAUAAAGAUUUUCAAGUCCAUCAGAGAGAUUCACAGAAUUGAGCCUACAGCUGAACACUAUGCAUGUAUGGUUGAUCUUCUUGCCCGUAACGGACGUCUUCAAGAUGCAUAUAUGUUUGCCUUGGAUAUGCCCCCUCACGCAGUCAAUGCGAAUGCAUGGGGCUCCCUUCUAGGGGCAUGCAAGGUCCAUGGAGAAGUCGAACUUGGCCAGCUUGCAGCUGAUCACUUGUUCGCCAUGGAGGCGGGGAACAUCGGGAACUACGUCAUUAUGUCAAACAUCUAUGCAGCUGAUGAGAAAUGGGAUGGUGUUGAGCAUGUCAGGAAACUUAUGAAGUCCAAGGAUAUGAAGAAACCUGCAGGAUGCAGCUGGAUUGAGGUUGAGAAGACCAGGCAUUUAUUCAUUGCCAGUGAUGUUAAGCACCAAGAUAGGUCUUGUAUCUAUGAUAUGCUAGGAAGUUUGUAUCAGCAGAUCAAAGAUACACAAACGCAGAGCAUGACAAUGGUACAAUCUAUGUGACUGCCAAUUGCAGUCUUGCAGAAACUAGAAGCGGAGUGCUCUUUAUCAAAGAUGUGCUCAUUGGCUUGCCUGACUCGGGUUGCAAGACUUCCACUUCCUGUCUGCAAAUUAGUGAUGAAAGUGUGUUUGUCUGACUGAGGAACAGUAUGCAUCUUCAUGUCUUAGCAGAUGGUAAUUUAAUAGCAUCCCAUGCCAUCUUAAUAAAGCCUUUCUAAACCCAGGUUGACUUUUGUAUGCAUUGGUGAAUGAGGCCAAGGUGAAUGAGGUUCUAAAGUGAAUUUCAAGGUGCAUACCGUACACACUUCUCCCCUUGUUGAGGACAAGUUUAGUGUAGCAGUUGUUGGUAUUGGCACUUGGCAAUGUGUCAAUUGUCAACACGGUCAAUAGCAUCUCCGUGGGCAGACUCUGACCAAAGGAGCCGAAGUCCUGGUGCCUGAGCCUUCAUGUGAAUGAAGUUUCUAUGGGAAACUUUAUCCAAUUGCUCCAGAAAGCCACUUCGAGAAAUAAGCAUGCAGACUCCUGCACCUGCUACGGUUCAGAACUUCCUGCAAUUUUGGAUCAGAUUGGAGAGGGGCAUCAUCGCAAUGUGUUUCUUCAGGCCCAAGGUCGAAUUGCUCAAGUUUACCAUCAACUGCUGGACCCAGUUCAAACAGCAAGCCAAAAGGCAACUUGUUGCGGUCAGUGGUCUGUAUGGCUCUCAAUAGCUGCUCAUCAUAUUCUGCACUGCUAUUAGCACGAUAUCCUCCCAGUUAAGCGGAAGCAGGAACUAACUGCUGCAGGCUGCGUCGUGAGAAGAGCUGGAUGUUUUUAGAAGAAAGAAGGAGCUGGAUGUUUGGGAAGGAAGCUGCAGCUGCAGACUGCAGAGCAUAGCUCUCGAGAGUCAAAGCAUAGCUCUGAAGCCGAACCCACCACAGUCACAACUCACCAACCCAACCAGGGGUCCAGGCUUGCAACCGUGCAGGGCACGCGUUUUUUACCAGAAAUACACUGGGCGCCGUCCACGAAAUUCCGAGCCCGAACAGGUCACCAACCAAACUCGGGGUCGGCCGGGCGGGGGACCGUUCGGCCGUACUGCUAUAAUAGCGUCCUCUGCGCCCACGAAGCCGUUCCCCUUCGCGCCGCGCGGAGAAAAAGAGAAGAAAAUCGAUUCCCCUUUGCUUUGCUCGCCGGAACCUCCGCCGCCCGUUGAUGGAUUUCGGAAGGACCAAAUCCGCCGCCGCCGUAGCACUGCUCAAAGCGACCUCCCGCCCGUCCGGACUGCCCUUCUCGGCCGCCGCCACGCCGUGGUUCCGGGAGCUGUGGGUCAACACCUCCAAAUAACGGGUCUCC
RNA transcript from Panicum hallii, 4119 nucleotides. It is a transcript of the gene named polyadenylate-binding protein-interacting protein 7, with no coding region annotated. The record is from RefSeq and is a predicted model, not a curated record. Lineage: Eukaryota; Viridiplantae; Streptophyta; Magnoliopsida; Poales; Poaceae. The transcript is spliced from 6 exons.